RNAcentral lists this ribosomal RNA (450 nucleotides) under uncultured bacterium. RNAcentral describes it as "bacterial SSU rRNA". It matches the Rfam family "Bacterial small subunit ribosomal RNA", at positions 354 to 796 of the family's 1533-position model. The record is from RNAcentral.
GUGGGGAAUAUUGGACAAUGGGCGCAAGCCUGAUCCAGCCAUACCGCGUGGGUGAAGAAGGCCUUCGGGUUGUAAAGCCCUUUUGUUGGGAAAGAAAUCCUGUCGAUUAAUACUCGGUGGGGAUGACGGUACCCAAAGAAUAAGCACCGGCUAACUUCGUGCCAGCAGCCGCGGUAAUACGAAGGGUGCAAGCGUUACUCGGAAUUACUGGGCGUAAAGCGUGCGUAGGUGGUGGUUUAAGUCUGCUGUGAAAGCCCUGGGCUCAACCUGGGAAUUGCAGUGGAUACUGGAUCACUAGAGUGUGGUAGAGGGAUGCGGAAUUUCUGGUGUAGCAGUGAAAUGCGUAGAGAUCAGAAGGAACAUCCGUGGCGAAGGCGGCAUCCUGGGCCUGCACUGACGCUCAUGCACGAAAGCGUGGGGAGCAAACAGGAUUAGAAACCCCUGUAGUCC